CCCUUCUGCGCAGGCGCACAGAGUGACUGAGGGAGGCGGGCGAGGGGAGGAAGGCUCCAAGCGAGGCCUGCUGCUUGGCGGGCGGCUGCGAGGCGCCGGAGAAGGGCAUGGAGCGGGACCUCCUCCGGCAGGCGCUCGGCUUCCACGGCCCCGCGCUCCUGCCGCUGCUCCGAGCCGAGCAGCACGACAACCCCGGCUUCCGCGGCCUCCUGCCUCCGGGAGGGCCAGGCCUCGACGCGCUGCCACCGCCAGUCCGGAAGGAGAGAGGAUUCGAUAAUAUUGAGAUACAGCACUUCAUUGCAAAAAAAGCCGAUCUCCUUUUUUCUCAUUCUUGGAAAACAAAUGUGCCUAUCACUGCAGAAGCCAAUGAAGAAAAUGAAGAUUAUUAUGCUGUUAUGCCACCUUUGGAGCAGUUCAUGGAUGUUCCCGGAGCAGAGAGGAGAGAGCUGUUUUUCCGAGACAUUGAACGUGGGGACAUAGUGAUUGGAAGGAUUAGUUCAAUUCGUGAAUUUGGGUUUUUCAUGGUGCUCUUCUGCCUGCGAAGUGGUGUUAUUCGAGAUAUAGCAGACAUAGAAAUCACUGCUCUCUGCCCAUUGAGGGACGUGCCUUCCCAAAGCAGCCAUGGCGAUCCUUUAUCAUACUAUCAAACUGGCGACCUUAUCCAAGCUGCAAUCAAGGAUAUUGAUCGCUAUCAUGAGAAACUCACAGUAUCACUGCACAGCUCUGCUCUUUCUCCAAGCCUAGCGAGUACCAAAUUAGGCGUAAUCAGCUCUGAAGACUUACCUCUGCACUACAGGAGGAGUGUUGAAAUAGCCAGUGGUUUGGAAACAUAUGAAAAAGUUUUGCAUCACUCCUUGGGCUUUGCAAAUCCUGCAGUAGAGGAGUUUAUGGCAGGGAAACUAGGACUGAACGAAUCCAACCCACCAUCCUUAAUGAGAGGAUUACAAAGCAAACAUUUCAAUGAAGAGGAUUUUGCUGUGGCAUUGCGGAAAAGACAAUCUGCCUCGUGGGCCUUAAAAUGUGUAAAGAUUGGUGUUGAUUAUUUCAAAGAGGGCCGCCAUGUGGAUGCCAUGAAUGAAUACAACAAGGCAUUGGAAAUAGAUGCACAGAACGUAGAAGCCUUAGUUGCUCGUGGAGCACUUUAUGCAACAAAGGGAAGCUUAAAUAAAGCAAUUGAUGAUUUUGAAAUUGCAUUAGAAAACUGUCCAACGCACAGAAAUGCCAGAAAAUAUCUCUGCCAAACACUUGUGGAAAGAGGAGGCCAGUUGGAAGAGGAGGAGAAAUUGUUGAAUGCAGAAAGUUAUUACAAGAAAGCUUUAAACAUAGAUGAGACGUUUCAAGAAGCUGAGGAUGCCUUGUUGAAACUUCGUAAGCAGAUACAGGUGAUUCUUUACUUUCUCUUAGUUGACUUGAGUACAUGAUGCUUAGAGUAAUGGGGCUGCACUGUUUAAACUACAUUUGUCUUGUUUUUUGCAAUUACUGCAAAUGGUUAGAGAAUAAUUGGGUUGGCUUAAUUGGAAAUCUAGAAUUCUGGAUGUCCAGAUCAAAGAAGUCCUCGAGGGUCACCUUUAGUUAGUAUAUUUAGUGGGUAGUUAGCUGAAUUUUCAGAAUAUAUUGCCUUUGCAAUCAGCUGUAUUGAAAUAAGUUAAACUUACUUCAAAGUGAGUGUAUCAGAGAUUGGAAUGCAUCUGUGAUCAAGGCAGACAUAUCACAGCUGAAGUCUUAAAGAACUGCAGUAAACAUUACAGAGCAAGACACUUGCCUUUUGUUUUGGGACUGGGGCAAUGAAUUGGAUACAGACCAGUGGAAACCAUGUUUUAUUUGGGCCCUGUAAAGCUAGAUUUAGCUUCCCUACUUCACCAUACUAAAUGUAAUAUGAAAAGAUUUAUUGACCUACAGGCUUAGUUAGCGUACCUACAAGGAUUGGUGAGCAAGGUUUCUAGCUCACAGGUUUAUUUAUAGCCUGCAUGUUUGAAAGACACCGAGGGUCACUUUGUACGUGCCUGUAUUGGGCUUUCCCCCUCCAAGAAAUGCCUUGCCAUCAUGAGGAGAACACAUGCAAAGACGGGUAACGGGUCUAUUUUUAUCAGCUAUUUCUGCCAAUCUGUAAAGGAAGCCUCUUAGUAAGUGCUUCCCUUUGCAUAUGCACCUCUCUCCAUAAUGAUGAGCAACAGAAAGUGGGCGAAAAGGCCUAAGCAGGUACUUGCAAGGCUGCCUUCAGUCACAGCUGAAUCUGACAGGCUCUCCUCCCGUAAUACUGAUGAUAUGUUUUUCUCCAAUGCAUUUUCCUCUGAACUGGAACUGUUGCUGCUGUGUCUGACUUCUGCUCAUCACCAACAACCCACUGGAAUAUGAUUACGUGUGCAAACCAUGCAUCCAAACUGGGCUGUAUUACGAUUUCCAAAUGAAAUCUCUGGAAAUGAGAGAGAAACAAGCUGCAAAAGAAGAGAGACAAAAAGAGAAGAAAAUAGAAACAAGUGCUGAAAAAUUGCGUAAGCUCUUAAAAGAAGAAAAAAGGUAACUGCUCUUACGUUCUGCUGUUUCUUACCUGAAUGUCCCAUAGAACAUCACUAACACAUGUGAUUAAGCUAACUCCUACUGUAAGUAUGGUGGGCAUUCACUCUAUUUGUUCUAGGGUUUUUACUGCAAUCUAGAAUAUUUUGUUACAGAACUAGUGAAGUAUCAAGAUAACAGUUACUUUGUCAUGAUACUAAUUCUGGGUCAUGGCUUUUAAAUGCUUUAAAUCCACUUUGCCGUAGAUUCAGAUGUACUGCAGGGUUGUCAGGGCAUUGUUGGUGGACCAGUCACAAAGUUGCAUAACAAAAUGUGAAUGAGAGUGUAUAUACUAUAGUCAUAAUUAGUGUGUCAUUUCACAAGCCUCCAGAUCCGUAUUUUCAUUAAUAUCAAACUAUGAUGGAUCUCAUACUUCUGAAACAUUUUCCAUCAUAGUUCUUGUGAAAUAUUGCAUGAUACAAAAUUUAUUUUUUUAAAAACCUUUUUUAAAAAAGCAGGAUUUAGGAGAAUUAUGUAAGUUAUGACACUUUGAAGACAAGAAGCGUGAGACGAUAGGAAUAGGGAACCUCACAGUAGUUUUUUUCCUAUCAGAAAACUUUAAAACUGGAAUAUAUACUUCUGAUAACAUCUUUAAAAUAAAAUCCAAGCUCCCUAUCCUUUUUACCUGUUGAUAUCUAUGGUUUGUAAAUUUGCUGAGCUUGCCAACAAAAGUGAAUUUAGAUGCUACUGGCAAUACCUCAUGGUUAAUUAAAAUUUCUAGGUUGAAGAAGAAACGAAAAAGGUCAACUUCCUCUUCUUCCUCCUCCUCCUCCUCUUCCUCAUCUGACUCUUCAUCAAAUGAAUCUGCUUCUUCUUCCUCCUCCUCCUCCUCC
RNA transcript from Anolis carolinensis (green anole), 3386 nucleotides. It is a transcript of the gene named tetratricopeptide repeat domain 14, with no coding region annotated. NCBI's taxonomy places the organism in Eukaryota, Metazoa, Chordata, Lepidosauria, Squamata, Anolidae. The transcript has 11 exons. The record is from RefSeq and is a predicted model, not a curated record.